This 497-nucleotide ribosomal RNA is filed under the name uncultured bacterium. RNAcentral describes it as "partial 16S ribosomal RNA". It matches the Rfam family "Bacterial small subunit ribosomal RNA", at positions 28 to 507 of the family's 1533-position model. The record is from RNAcentral.
GAUGAACGCUGGCGGCGUGCCUAAUACAUGCAAGUCGAGCGAACGGACGAGAAGCUUGCUUCUCUGAUGUUAGCGGCGGACGGGUGAGUAACACGUGGAUAACCUACCUAUAAGACUGGGAUAACUUCGGGAAACCGGAGCUAAUACCGGAUAAUAUUUUGAACCGCAUGGUUCAAAAGUGAAAGACGGUCUUGCUGUCACUUAUAGGUGGAUCCGCGCUGCAUUAGCUAGUUGGUAAGGUAACGGCUUACCAGGGCAACGAUGCAUAGCCGACCUGAGAGGGUGAUCGGCCACACUGGAACUGAGACACGGUCCAGACUCCUACGGGAGGCAGCAGUAGGGAAUCUUCCGCAAUGGGCGAAAGCCUGACGGAGCAACGCCGAGUGAGUGAUGAAGGUCUUCGGAUCGUAAAACUCUGUUAUUAGGGAAGAACAUAUGUGUAAGUAACUGUGCACAUCUUGACGGUACCUAAUCAGAAAGCCACGGCUAACUACGUG